UCUACGGGGGGCAGCAGUGGGGAAUAUUGGACAAUGGGCGAAAGCCUGAUCCAGCCAUGCCGCGUGUGUGAAGAAGGCCUUCGGGUUGUAAAGCACUUUCAGUGGGGAAGAAAGCCUUGGGGCUAAUACCCUCGAGGAAGGACAUCACCCACAGAAGAAGCACCGGCUAACUCCGUGCCAGCAGCCGCGGUAAUACGGAGGGUGCGAGCGUUAAUCGGAAUUACUGGGCGUAAAGCGCGCGUAGGCGGUCUGAUAAGCCGGUUGUGAAAGCCCCGGGCUCAACCUGGGAACGGCAUCCGGAACUGUCAGGCUAGAGUGCAGGAGAGGAAGGUAGAAUUCCCGGUGUAGCGGUGAAAUGCGUAGAGAUCGGGAGGAAUACCAGUGGCGAAGGCGGCCUUCUGGACUGACACUGACGCUGAGGUGCGAAAGCGUGGGUAGCAAACAGGAUUAGAUACCCGGGUAUC
This 464-nucleotide ribosomal RNA is filed under the name Vreelandella stevensii. Its description in RNAcentral is "partial 16S ribosomal RNA". It matches the Rfam family "Bacterial small subunit ribosomal RNA", at positions 338 to 794 of the family's 1533-position model. Lineage: Bacteria; Pseudomonadati; Pseudomonadota; Gammaproteobacteria; Oceanospirillales; Halomonadaceae. The record is from RNAcentral.